CUGGGCCCGGGGAUGGGAAACUUCACAGAACAAGGGACUUGGGCCACAUGCACGGCCACCUCCCCAGCCACGUGACUCUUGGUGAGGGUGGGGUAGAACUUACUCAAUGAAGACAUUGUUUUUUCUUUUUAAAAAGAAUUCAAAGUUCAUCUCAUUCCUAUUCUUGGCGGAUUGGCCACCUAGCCUGCGUGUAGCCUUUUUCUUCUCUGCUGCUAAACAGAACCUCUUUUCCUUGAGAAGGAAAGAAGUCGGAAGAGAGGAAGACGGAAGAAAUCGCUGCUCAGCGCAUCCGUGUGAGGUCCCGGGUAUUCUGUGAGGAAAGGCUGGCGCAGGCCCGCCGCGCCCUCGGCCUCGGGGAAGGAGGUGAACACAGAAGGGGGUGCCGGGCCCACGGCUGAGACACCUGAGAGGACGCCUGCAGCCCGGGUGACCACAGCAGGGGCUUGGGUGAGGCCCGGGGCCCAGGUCUCUGGAAGUGAGGGAGGGUUUCAGAGGAGCAUGGUGGGCGGGCCAUUCCCAGAGGAGCCUGCAGCAGGCAGGAUCCGGGGAUCACGGCCAACAUGGCGGCCACGCUGGGAGAGAAGAACCUGGUGGGCGCACAGGACUAGCGGCUGGGCCGCUCUCCCAGGCAGGAGAGUGUCUGGGUCUACACCCUGCAUGGACGGUGCCGGGCGGAGCUGCAGACAGACCCCGGGACCCAAGGCUACGUGUGUAGACACAGGGCUCCGCCAGCCAGACCCAUCCUGGCCGUGGGACAUUGCAAACGGGCUCCCUCUGGCCAUCACCUCUGACCAGACCCAGCCUCUGGGUCUUCUGGAGUCACUGACAUGGUAUGGAAAAUAAAGCUGGGCUUAGGCUCCUGAGGGGGCCUUGGCAUUCGCCACCCACCGCCAGGACGAGCUCCCGAAGACCCGCGGGGGUUCAACACCAGCUCCAUCACCAUGCAUGCACCAGCUGACGCCGGGGAGCGGCCAGGUCCCAGGGCAGGGGCGAGAGAGUCAGCCCCACCCCCGCCCCGCCCCCACCCCCCAAAUUCUGGGAAAGUGCUGGGCCCCCUGGCCUGCGUUUUGGCUGCGGCUUCAUUUACACGCAGCUGUUUCUCCAAGGUGCCUCCAGCAGAAUUUCAGACGAAUUCUCCCACGAAAUAUUUUCCCCUUGAAAAGUGUUAGGUAAUUAACACCCCCCAGGUCACCAGCGGCACAGUCCCGGCGAGACAGCCACCAGGAAGGUGAAGGCGAGAAGAGCUCUCCACUAGCGUCAGCGGCAAACCAGGGGACCGGGGGGCAGGAAGCCCGAGCCCCCCUCGUGCCUGUUUUCAGUCUAAUUUCCUUUUCUAAGAAGCAUUUAUUCUGACAUAGAUAAGAAGGUUUCCUCAUGCAGAAAAACAAAAAGAACAACAAAUGG
This 1404-nucleotide long non-coding RNA is filed under the name Homo sapiens (human). RNAcentral's name for it is "HSALNT0207295". The record is from RNAcentral. Lineage: Eukaryota; Metazoa; Chordata; Mammalia; Primates; Hominidae.